GAUCUCUGAGGACCCUUUUAGCUCUGGGAGUCCCGGACCAGGAGGACUGAGAGUGGCCGCCCUGUUGGAGACGGCGCCAGCAGGAGCCAUCUGGUCCCAGCCCCCUCCCUCCAUCCCGAGGACUCGGGGAGCUGGGUGCUCAGGCUGGAGCCUCCCUGUCAGACCCUCUCUGGGCUCUGCUUUUGAACAAAACCUCAUGUGGGUUUCUCAACGUCCCUGGGAAGAAAGGUGGCCGCCGUGGUCACCAUAAAGACCUCAGAUUCUUCUAGAGAAUCAGGGAUUGAAACGUGUCUGAAAGUUAAGGUUUUUAAAUGUUAGCAAAUCAUGUUUUAGGAUAUGUUGAACCCCACGACAGCACCUUCCUGGCUCGCUCGACUCCUGGACAGGAGUGGCCUGCGCCUGCCUGUUUUAGAGGCCGCACAGCAGGCGAUGGUCUAACGAGGACCAGACCCGACGGAGGCUGGAACGAGGGUGGCAGAGCACAGAGGCAGUGGCUGGGCGACGGCUGGGUGCUGGGCUGUUCAGAAAGCAGAGUCCACUGGGCUACCUGCUGACCAGAGGCGGGUCCCAGGAGGAAGACGAAGAGGUGACGGAGUGAUGGUGGGCCAGGACCCCAGGAGGGAGGCUUGGAUGCCAUCUAGUGUCCCCAGCAGGGCCACAGGCAAGCUCGAAGCCAGAGAAUGAGGAGAUAACUGACCACUCCUCCAGGGUACGAUGGGCAAGUCACCAAAGAAAGAUGUCCCCUCACACCAUGCCUUUCGAGAUUUCUGUCCCCAAAUUCGGGAUUUCGACCCCCACUCAUUGAGCCCUCGUUGGUUUCAGACACAGGAGGCUUAAAGAGUCGUAUCUCCUGGGAAGAACUUAUUCUCACCACGCAAUUACCUGCCAGCAUAAUAAACUUUCCCUCCAGAGUUCCAGAAAAUUCCUCAGAAAGCAGAGAGGAUGAAUAAGUCGGGCGACAAGCAAGAUGGGGAGAGGAACAGGAAUUCACGUUUACUGAGUAACUGCAAAGCUCCAGGGCCAUCUGGAAAUGCAAUUGGCUGGAAGCGAG
This 1051-nucleotide long non-coding RNA is filed under the name Marmota monax (woodchuck). The record is from RNAcentral. Lineage: Eukaryota; Metazoa; Chordata; Mammalia; Rodentia; Sciuridae.